RNAcentral lists this unclassified non-coding RNA (2060 nucleotides) under Hevea brasiliensis (rubber tree). Lineage: Eukaryota; Viridiplantae; Streptophyta; Magnoliopsida; Malpighiales; Euphorbiaceae. The record is from RNAcentral.
UUUUCCUUUUGAGUGCUGAUAUUACUCUAACCCUAUAACAGCAACCAAUAAAAUUAUUAACAUCACCCAGUUUUUCUCUCUCCUCUAAGUCACUAUAAGGCUUUUUGAAAUGGUCUUGUGCCUCUUUUACUUUGAUGGGGGUAUAAGCAUUACAGUCCUUAGCCCCUUAAUCUUAGAGGCAGCCCAUUCAAAUCAUGCCGUAUCUUAGUACCAUGGCUCUUGUGUGGUCAUACCAUUGUAACUUCCAUUCACAUAGGGCAUUCCAUGAGGUUUUUGCCUCAUGGUCUGUGGGUAAAUACGUUGUUUGAAAUGCUUAACAGGAGGAUCCUAAAUGGGCACUCUAAGCAAAUGUAGAGAAUAUUUUUUACAUUUAGAAUUUGCAUUGCAUGCUUAGAGUAUAAAUUUGAUCCAAUUGCCCUUGUUUGCUUUAAAGUUUAAACACUAGAAUGUGAAAAUUUGCUGAUGGAAUUUCAAUUGCUUUAUAAUGUUCUAUUUGGCGAGAAAAGAACCUGUUAUAUAUGCAUAGACAAGAAAAUGUGGAUUUGUUUUAUAAUGAUAAAAGAACAUGUGACGGUUAAUCUUUUCAGUGUUUGCACCAUAUUAACUCAUGGUAAUUUUCAGCCUUGGAGGGUUUACAGCUUUGGUUGCAGCAGUGGGGUUGCAUGAACAAGUUGUUACUAAAUUCUGCUGGACAGUUUGGAAACCCAAAUGCAGAAUCCAACAAGUCUGAAGAAUCAAUCUUACAGAAAUUUGUCCUGAAGCUGCUGAAGGAAAUUUUCCAGCGUGUAGUUCUUGGAUUUUUGUUUUGGCAAGCAAAGCAACCAGCUCGCAUUGAAUCUGUAUUAAAGAGUGUGUAUAUAAAUACUUCCAAUGUGGAUAGCUAUCUUGUAGAAUCAAUUACAAGACCAGCAGCUGAUCCCAAUGCUGGAGAAGUUUAUUACAGGUAUAUUUGACUACAAUCAUCUCAUUAGAAAAGAGAUCUUCUACAUUGGCUUCUCCAUAUAUAUUUAGAACUUUUCAAGUCUUUAUAUGUUCCAUUUUCUUGUUUAAUAUGGUUACAGUGAUAGUUCCUAUAAGGAGAAUGCUAAAAAUGCAGGUCAAAAUCUAUAAAAUUAGUCAUUGACAACACCUUUUUGCACAAUCUUUGAUACCUUCUUAAUCUUUUCUGCAGAUUAAUGACUCGGUUCAUGUUGAAUCAGAGCAAAUAUACUUUAGACAAUGCCUUAAGCCAACUGAAAUGCCCAUUGUUAUUGCUUUGGGGUGACUUAGAUCCAUGGGUGGGUCCUGCCAAGGCUAAUCGAAUCAAAGAGUUUUAUCCAAGGACAACUCUUGUGAACUUACAGGCUGGUCACUGCCCACAUGAUGAAGUUCCCGAGCUUGUUAAUAGAGCUUUAAUGGAUUGGUUGUCGUCUAUGACACCAGAAGCCUCUUUGCAGACAGUGUAGAAGUACUCAAAUUUUACAGCAUUACUGCCAACAUAUAUCUGCUUUGAGGCAUUACUUGUAAAUUAAUUGUAUAUUUGUUGAUCAAAAUUAAACCUUUCAUUGCAAGUAUAGAUAAUAAGACAUUGGUCAUCAUGGACCCCUUAAGGCAGAAAGAUAUGGAUUUUGAGAGAGUUGGCCAGUAUUUCAUGGUCAUUGCAGCUACACCUUGUCAAUAUGAUUUAUUGCUUGUGUGGGCAACUAAUUUAAAGCUAUUUUAUGAAUUCUUUUGUACCAUGAUACGCUGCCAGCAAUUUUUUGAACUGCAGAAGCACAUUGCAAAGAGGACUAUGAAAAUUAGACUUUGAGAAAUUACACAAAUAUCUAUUAUCUGUCUUUUGUCAAUAAUGAUAUGGAAUUUUCUUGAAAUGCAUUUUUAUUGUGAAUAUAGGUCCAACAGGGGAAGCUGUACAGUAAGUCGUCCAACCUAAUUGAGUUCCUGAACCAUUUUUUCUUUUGUUUCUUAUCAAAUGAGAAAUUGAAUUUUUCUAAAGGGAAAACUCAUGCAACUCCUGUUUGGCUGUAAUAUUAUAGUUCGACACUAAAGUUGUAUUGUACUCUCUCAUUGACAAAUUGAAU